UUUAAUUUAGAAUUAGAUGAAUUUGAUUUAGUUGCACCACCUCACCUGUAAAGUUAAUGUUAAAGGUACUGACCACAUUUGUAUCUGUGUGUGACCCCACCAAUCUGGCAAAGAACUCUAGUGAAUCGGAUAAUUGUUUGGUGUGGAAAGCAUUGAACGUUGUGGCGGGAAGCCAGCAAGAUGGCAGAGACAACAGCCUUUACAUCGUGGAAGUAUUCACAUUAUUUUGAAUUGGUAGAAUUAAAGGAGAAAAAAACAUAAUAAAAAUUGUGCCAACUUCAAAUAUCAAGAAGCACCUUCAGGCCAAGCACAGCUCCACAAGACUGGCGGAGAAAGACCCACGCCAGCCGAUCGCCGUUGAUGCUGAGGAUGACCGUGCUUGCUUCAAAACAGCAAAAUCUAGAUUUCUGUUCGGCUAAACCUGUCACCCUGAGAGAACUAAAUAAACAUGUAUAUGUCUUUGA
Long non-coding RNA from Salmo salar (Atlantic salmon), 464 nucleotides. RefSeq lists it as uncharacterized. The record is from RefSeq and is a predicted model, not a curated record. NCBI's taxonomy places the organism in Eukaryota, Metazoa, Chordata, Actinopteri, Salmoniformes, Salmonidae.